UGGGGGGUCGUCUAAUGGUCGGACUUCUCCCUUUGGAGGAGAAUAUCGGGGUUCGACUCCCUGCCCCCCAG
Molecule: transfer RNA, 71 nt
Filed under: Candidatus Roizmanbacteria bacterium CG_4_9_14_0_2_um_filter_36_12
Lineage: Bacteria; Candidatus Roizmaniibacteriota
Also listed under: 2 other names
Description: tRNA-Gln
Rfam family: tRNA
About the family: Transfer RNA (tRNA) molecules are approximately 80 nucleotides in length. Their secondary structure includes four short double-helical elements and three loops (D, anti-codon, and T loops).
Source: RNAcentral